This 500-nucleotide ribosomal RNA is filed under the name uncultured Myrionecta. RNAcentral's name for it is "bacterial SSU rRNA". It matches the Rfam family "Eukaryotic small subunit ribosomal RNA", at positions 1213 to 1801 of the family's 1831-position model. The record is from RNAcentral. Lineage: Eukaryota; Ciliophora; Litostomatea; Cyclotrichida; Mesodiniidae.
ACUUACCAGGUCAAGACAUGGGCGUGAUUGACAGGCUAAUGACUUUUCUCGAUUCCAUGGAUGGUGGUGCAUGGUCGCACUUAGUUGGUGCAGUGAUUUGUCAGGUUUAUUCCGGUAACGAACGAGACCUCGGCCUUGUAAAUAGCUAUGCUGCUUACAGGGACAUUGGCGGCUACGCCAAGGAAGCUCGAGGCAAUUGCAGAUCUGGAAUGCCCUUAGAUGUCCUGGGUCGCACGCGUGCUACAAUGACGCCACGAACGAGCUUGCGUGAUGAAAGUUACGCAUAAUCAGCAGUCGGCGUCUUAAGGGAUAGUCUCUUGUAACUGUGGGACUCCAACUAGGAAUGUCUCGUAAGCACAAGUCAACAUCUUGUGUUGAUUACGUCCCUGCUCUUUGUACACACCGCCCGUCGCUCCUACCGAUCGAGUGUUUAGGUGAAUUUGAUGGACGUAAGGAAGUCAAAUAAACCUGAGCACUAGAGAAGAGAAGUCGAGAUGCCC